This 67-nucleotide transfer RNA is filed under the name Pseudomonadales bacterium. RNAcentral's name for it is "tRNA-Val". It matches the Rfam family "tRNA". Rfam says of the family: Transfer RNA (tRNA) molecules are approximately 80 nucleotides in length. Their secondary structure includes four short double-helical elements and three loops (D, anti-codon, and T loops). Lineage: Bacteria; Pseudomonadati; Pseudomonadota; Gammaproteobacteria; Pseudomonadales. The record is from RNAcentral.
GGGUGUUUAGCUCAGUUGGGAGAGCGACGGCCUUACAAGCCGUAGGUCGCAAUACCUGCAACACCUU